UGAGUAACGCGUGAGGAACCUGCCUUCCAGAGGGGGACAACAGUUGGAAACGACUGCUAAUACCGCAUGACACAUGACCGUGGCAUCACGGACAUGUCAAAGAUUUAUCGCUGGAAGAUGGCCUCGCGUCUGAUUAGCUAGUAGGCGGGGUAACGGCCCACCUAGGCGACGAUCAGUAGCCGGACUGAGAGGUUGACCGGCCACAUUGGGACUGAGACACGGCCCAAACUCCUACGGAAGGCAGCAG
RNAcentral lists this ribosomal RNA (247 nucleotides) under uncultured bacterium. Its description in RNAcentral is "partial 16S ribosomal RNA". It matches the Rfam family "Bacterial small subunit ribosomal RNA", at positions 107 to 354 of the family's 1533-position model. The record is from RNAcentral.